GCCUUCGUGGUGUAAUGGUAGCACACUCGGCGUGCAUUCGAGAGGUCCAGGUUCGAGUCCCGGUGAGGGCA
Molecule: transfer RNA, 71 nt
Filed under: Stegodyphus mimosarum
Lineage: Eukaryota; Metazoa; Arthropoda; Arachnida; Araneae; Eresidae
Rfam family: tRNA
About the family: Transfer RNA (tRNA) molecules are approximately 80 nucleotides in length. Their secondary structure includes four short double-helical elements and three loops (D, anti-codon, and T loops).
Source: Rfam by way of RNAcentral